RNAcentral lists this ribosomal RNA (484 nucleotides) under uncultured bacterium. Its description in RNAcentral is "partial 16S ribosomal RNA". It matches the Rfam family "Bacterial small subunit ribosomal RNA", at positions 30 to 507 of the family's 1533-position model. The record is from RNAcentral.
AUUGAACGCUGGCGGCAGGCCUAACACAUGCAAGUCGAGCGGAUGAAGGGAGCUUGCUCCUGGAUUCAGCGGCGGACGGGUGAGUAAUGCCUAGGAAUCUGCCUGGUAGUGGGGGAUAACGUCCGGAAACGGGCGCUAAUACCGCAUACGUCCUGAGGGAGAAAGUGGGGGAUCUUCGGACCUCACGCUAUCAGAUGAGCCUAGGUCGGAUUAGCUAGUUGGUGGGGUAAAGGCCUACCAAGGCGACGAUCCGUAACUGGUCUGAGAGGAUGAUCAGUCACACUGGAACUGAGACACGGUCCAGACUCCUACGGGAGGCAGCAGUGGGGAAUAUUAGACAAUGGGCGAAAGCCUGAUCCAGCCAUGCCGCGUGUGUGAAGAAGGUCUUCGGAUUGUAAAGCACUUUAAGUUGGGAGGAAGGACAGUAAGUUAAUACCUUGCUGUUUUGACGGUACCAACAGAAUAAGCACCGGCUAACUUCGUG